RNAcentral lists this ribosomal RNA (472 nucleotides) under uncultured bacterium. Its description in RNAcentral is "partial 16S ribosomal RNA". It matches the Rfam family "Bacterial small subunit ribosomal RNA", at positions 28 to 523 of the family's 1533-position model. The record is from RNAcentral.
GACGAACGCUGGCGGCGUGCUUAACACAUGCAAGUCGAGCGAGAAACCUUCGGGUUUCUAGCGGCGGACGGGUGAGUAACACGUGGGUAACCUGCCUCAAAGAGGGGGAUAGCCUUCCGAAAGGAAGAUUAAUACCGCAUAAUAUUACAGUUUCGCAUGAAGCAGUAAUUAAAGGAGUAAUCCGCUUUGAGAUGGACCCGGGGCGCAUUAGCUAGUUGGAGAGGUAACGGCUCACCAAGGCAACGAUGCGUAGCCGACCUGGGAGGGUGAUCGGCCACAUUGGAACUGAGACACGGUCCAGACUCCUACGGGAGGCAGCAGUGGGGAAUAUUGCACAAUGGGCGAAAGCCUGAUGCAGCAACGCCGCGUGAGUGAUGAAGGUCUUCGGAUUGUAAAGCUCUGUCUUUUGGGACGAUAAUGACGGUACCAAAGGAGGAAGCCACGGCUAACUACGUGCCAGCAGCCGCCGCGG